UACGUAGGUGGCAAGCGUUGUCCGGAUUUACUGGGCGUAAAGAGCGCGCAGGCGGCUGGUCAAGUCCGAUGUGAAAUCUCCCGGCUUAACUGGGAAACUGCAUCGGAAACUGAUCGGCUUGAAGGUGGGAGAGGGUAGUGGAAUUCCCGGUGUAGUGGUGAAAUGCGUAGAUAUCGGGAGGAACACCAGUGGCGAAGGCGACUACCUGGCCCAUUCUUGACGCUGAGGCGCGAAAGCUAGGGGAGCGAGCGGG
This 253-nucleotide ribosomal RNA is filed under the name uncultured bacterium. Its description in RNAcentral is "partial 16S ribosomal RNA". It matches the Rfam family "Bacterial small subunit ribosomal RNA", at positions 524 to 776 of the family's 1533-position model. The record is from RNAcentral.